This is a long non-coding RNA of Austrofundulus limnaeus, 209 nucleotides long. RefSeq lists it as uncharacterized. The record is from RefSeq and is a predicted model, not a curated record. The transcript has 3 exons. NCBI's taxonomy places the organism in Eukaryota, Metazoa, Chordata, Actinopteri, Cyprinodontiformes, Rivulidae.
CGCCAAUCCACACCAUCCCCCGUUUGCCCUUUUAAUGAGGCUCCCCAUCUGGAUGGACGACAGUCUGCUGUGUGCCUGAUUAAUGGUGUGGAGAGACAGUUGUCAGUUUGAAAGCGCUGCUGUGUGACCCAGGACAGAACAUCCAGAAGGUGGACUAAUGUUAGUCCAAGUCAUCCAGGACAUGGAAAAAUAAAAGAAUAAAGAUGAAG